This 460-nucleotide ribosomal RNA is filed under the name uncultured bacterium. RNAcentral describes it as "partial 16S ribosomal RNA". It matches the Rfam family "Bacterial small subunit ribosomal RNA", at positions 338 to 795 of the family's 1533-position model. The record is from RNAcentral.
CCUACGGGAGGCAGCAGUGAGGAAUAUUGGUCAAUGGACGCAAGUCUGAACCAGCCAAGCCGCGUGCAGGAAGACGGCCCUAUGAGUUGUAAACUGCUUUUGUACGAGGGUAAACUCAGAUACGCGUAUCUUUCUGAAAGUAUCGUACGAAUAAGGAUCGGCUAACUCCGUGCCAGCAGCCGCGGUAAUACGGAGGAUUCAAGCGUUAUCCGGAUUUAUUGGGUUUAAAGGGUGCGUAGGCGGGUGGAUAAGUUGGCUGUGAAAUCCCGAGGCUCAACCUCGGAAUUGCCUCUGAUACUGUUAGGCUAGAGAGUAGUUGAGGUAGGCGGAAUGUAUGGUGUAGCGGUGAAAUGCUUAGAGAUCACGCAGAACACCGAUUGCGAAGGCAGCUUACCAAGCUACUUCUGACGUUGAGGCACGAAAGCGUGGGGAGCAAACAGGAUUAGAUACCCCUGUAGUC